GGGAACCACAAGUGCAAUGUACGCCGAUGAGUUGAUAACUGGAAAGCUGAAAGUGAUUCUCUCUGGGGGCGGUUUUGGGGAAUCCUUGAUGAAGGUGACCCAUUUCUGAUUCUCAUUGAGAAGGGGAUGACCUGGGAAUAAAGAAGCCACAUGCCCAUCUGGGCCCAUACCAAGAAGCAUAAGAUCAAAUUUUGGGAACCCGCUUGCUGCUGAGACAUCAACCACUUUGGUAUUUACCAAAUGCUUCAGGCAGGUUUCAUAAUCUUCAGCUGCA
RNAcentral lists this unclassified non-coding RNA (274 nucleotides) under Hevea brasiliensis (rubber tree). Lineage: Eukaryota; Viridiplantae; Streptophyta; Magnoliopsida; Malpighiales; Euphorbiaceae. The record is from RNAcentral.